This is a long non-coding RNA of Felis catus (domestic cat), 3355 nucleotides long. RefSeq lists it as uncharacterized. The record is from RefSeq and is a predicted model, not a curated record. Lineage: Eukaryota; Metazoa; Chordata; Mammalia; Carnivora; Felidae. The transcript has 2 exons.
AUGAUCUGGGGAGGAAGUGGGUGACACAAGGGGGCAAGUUACUGGCAAGGCCUUUGGGUGCUGGGUGGAGCAACUGGGGCCACCUCUGGGAUUUUUUUUAGCCACUUUCUUUUAGCCACAUUUAAGGGCUUAGUUUCAACAGAAUACCAGCCUGUUCCAGAUCUGCCUUAGGGUAAAAACGACACAACUACAGCCCUAAACAUUCUACAGUACUUUGCGGUUUAUAAAUAAUCCUUUCGUGAUGCUGACAACUUCUACUUAUUAAGGGCCAGCACGUGCCAGGCUGUUUCAGGCACUGUGUAUGGUCUACCUCAUUUAAUCAUCGAAAUAACUCUCAGGGCUAUGUUCUAUAACUCUUCCCAUGUUACGGAUGAGGAAACGGGCUCGGCGAGGUUAAGUUAUCAGUUAAGGCCAUAGAGCUCUUGAAUACUGGAGCUGCAUCUCAAACCCAGAGUCUCUGGCUAUAAAUCCUGGUUUUAGGAAGCGCUGGCAGAGUCUGUGAAGCGGGCAGGUACCAAGAGCCGUCCGGGAAGGCGUCUGCUCGUCUGUACUGCUUCCUACGUGGGGCACAGCCAUUUGGAUAUAAUGAGUCCGUUUAUACACUGGUGUCUGGGCUCCCAACCUCUUGUAGGCAGGAAGCAGCUAAGAAAACGGCUGAGCCACUGAUCUGAGUGUAUCCUUCGAUGUCUUUGUAGACCAGACAGGAUGAGAAAGCGGGAGGCCGAGAGCCAGGGGGAGUGAUGAACUGAUGUGCCACGCCCUCGGGCAGACCAGGGCCGGAGGGAGGCGUACCCCCAUCUCCCGAGUCCCGUACCAGCCGUCUGUGCCCCCACAGGGUGUGUUCGACCCGUGACUUGUUUGCUUGGUUCGUAGGUCUCCAGCUUCGAAGCAGCUGAAUCUGGGUUGAACGUACUUCGAGCUGUGGGUGGGAUGAGACGCUUGGGGGGUCUCUGGGUGGAGUGAGUGUGCACGGCAAAAGGGACAUGGAUUUUGUGACCAAAAGGGACGACCGAAUGUGCUCAUCGCUCCCCGCAUGCAGUCCUUUGUUGUGUGACUCCUCAUCCCUCCCAGGACAGGGAGAAUAUACUUCCCACCCUGGCUGUGGCUGACUGUGCGCCUGGCUUUGGCCAAUGACGGGUGAGGAGGGAGUGGGUAGUGACAGGUGUCAGGGCGGAGCCUGGGCCCUCGUCCACACCACUGCUUCCUCUUGCUCUCCUCUGCUUCUGUCCUGGCUGUGAGUAGCUGACGUGCCUUCAGUCUGGCCCCAGAAUGAACACAUUGCACGGACUAGAUCCCCACCCAUAGCUCGAGAUGGGGUCACUGCAGAUGCACGCGUGAGAAAGAGACUGCGGUAUGAUGAAACGUAUGUGUGGCCUUUGACCCUGGUUCCUGGCACAAAGCUUGGAGCGUCGUCGUUAGGCUAAUGAGGUGAUGAGCCACACCACUGUACAGAUGGAGGCUGGUGGCCAGAAAAGCCAACCAUGUGAACCAUGGGACUUUCAGCCCCACCUUCAGCCUCCCUCGGGGCGAGGGAGGAACUCUAUGCACCUGACUGGUGCAUCCACUGAUGUGCUGGGAGUGAGUGUGGCGGGCGGAGAGGGCAUGGAGGUCUGCACACCCCUCCUACACAGGCCUUGUUACCCUCCGUAUCUCUUCAUCUGGCUGUUCAUUUGUCUCCUUUAUGAUAAACCAGUAAUUGGAAGUACAGCGCUUUGCUGAGUUUUAUGAAAAUCAUCCGACCCGAGGGCAGUCAUGGGAAUCCCUAAAUGUGUAGUAGGCUGGACAGGAGUGCAGUAACUUGGGCGUACCUGAAACUUCACUGGUAUCUGGAGUGGGGGCACUCUAGUGGGGCUGAGUCCUUGGCUUGUGAGGUCUGUGCCAACUCUGAGUAGACAGUGUCAGAAUUGAAUGGAACUGAAUUGAAUUGAACUGAAUUGAAUUGAAUUGAAUUGAACUGAAUUGAAUUGAAGAACACCCCUGUGGCGUCAGAGAAUUGCCUGUGGAACACAGAAAUAAUCCUGCUCAGAGGCACAGAGUUUUGGGGUGGCUGGCUUCUCAACAGUAAUUAACUGACACACCAUGUAAGGGACAGUUUAGGGCAUAGAGGUAGCAGGGGGUGACUGCAACUUUUCUUCAGCAAGAGACUAUUUGAGAGGUGUGAGAAGAGGACACACGUAUACACACACAUGCGCAUGCACGCACACACACACUCGUGGGAGGCACACUCCAGGGAACAGGAAGACAGUGAGUAACCUGCUCCGUGCUGAGUUCCUGGCUCCCCACCCACUAGCUCCAUCCACAAAGGCAACCAUAUUCGACCCCUCUGCUUACGUUUUGCCGGGCAAUGCAAAUCCUUUUGCACUGGCCCCCAGAGCACAAGAGGGGAGAGUGACAAGGCACAGAAACGGCGCCCAAGGCAACAAGGUGCGCCUCAGCCGGCCAGAGGCCCUGGUCUGGGCCAGGGUGACGAACUGCAGUGCGGGAGGCCAGGGUCUACCUACCUUCUGCAGGAUGGUCGUGGCCAGUUCGUCCGUCAGCUCCUCCUUGUGGUCCCGCAGGUAACUGGCCUCAUUCUGCUUGUCCUGCGGAGGAAGGGAAGAGAAGGGGCGCAUGCUGUGGGUGGGUCGGGGGACCCGGCAAUCACUUUCUUGGGAGUUCUGACCACAGAGGCAGAGGGAGGGUGGGCCCGGCCCCAGUCAAGGACAGACACCAUGAGGCCGGUUUGCUGACAACCUAUACUUUGUCCUGGCGGCCAGGACCUUGACCCGCACCUCCCCCCAGGGAGGAGAAGGGCGUCGUACCAGACUGUCCCCAUAGGCUUCUGCUUUGGAAAUUGCCUCCUCGAUGGCCUCUUCAGCCACCCGCAGGGCGACAGCCAAUGUGUCCAUCAUGCUGUGUCCUAGACAGGAAACAGAAGACAGACCACUUUCGGAAAGGGAAAGACAGGUCAUUCUCAGAGAGCACGACUGGAUCACACGGUCCCUCUUGUGCCCUAACACUGAGCAUGGCUCCCGACACACAGAGUGGCUUAUGGAUAACUUCACAGAAGGACUCCAUGUAAGGAAAUACUGGUUCUUCUAAACCAAGUCUAUCACUAACAACUCUGACCAAGUUCACCGAGCUCAACCACCUGUUGGCCCCAGACUGAGUGUCACAUCCAUGGCCACAGUCAAUCUCUACAAGAAUCCACUGAGUAGGUGCCAUCUGACAGACAAGAGAACUGAAGCACAGAGAGGUCAAGCAACUUGGCCAAGGUAACUCAGGGAGACAGGAAGAGAGAUGAAGUUGGGAUCCAGACUGUCUCCAAAGCCCUCGAUUUUAACCGCAAAAGCAAGACAAAUACAAGCUAACGUGA